Molecule: long non-coding RNA, 582 nt
Filed under: Mytilus galloprovincialis (Mediterranean mussel)
Lineage: Eukaryota; Metazoa; Mollusca; Bivalvia; Mytilida; Mytilidae
Source: RNAcentral
GUCAAAUUUGGUGCUCAAUGUUGUGAGAGCUACGUCAUAGAUGGUGUGACGUCAACGUGGGUCAUUUGCAUAGCUAGGUCAGUAGUCCCAUUCCUUGAAAAUGUGGCAGUCAAGUGAUGCAUUUAAUGAAAUGAGUGUAAAUGAUCGGUAUAAUAGGACAAAAUCGUUAAUGAAUUAAAUAUUUAAUUACAAACAUCAUGGAUAAUCUACAGAAUUCAAUAUUUCACAAGGAGCAAUCAUGGAACUAAGGAAAACUUGCGUGAAGUUCCCCGGGAUAAUGGUUAGCAACGUCCAGGGAUAUGGGUUAGCAACACCCAGGGGCUAUGGGUUUUGUAACGACGUGCGUUAACCAAUCAAAAUCCUAGAUAUAUACUAAGCCGGGAUAAUGUUUGAUAUCUACUCAUCGUGUUAGGGGGUCAUAAAGGGUAUAAAUCAUGUAGUAAUAUAUAAAGUAUAUCAUAAUGGUUGUGUGGCGUUCUAAACGAAAUUUUAUGAAUUAGAAAUGUUUUUUUGUUUAUUCUAAAACAGCUGGAAUGUAAAAUAGUUAUCCCACUCGGGCUUGGUGUGUCAGUGAUGAUCUUA